This 419-nucleotide ribosomal RNA is filed under the name uncultured ammonia-oxidizing beta proteobacterium. Its description in RNAcentral is "bacterial SSU rRNA". It matches the Rfam family "Bacterial small subunit ribosomal RNA", at positions 197 to 597 of the family's 1533-position model. Lineage: Bacteria; Pseudomonadati; Pseudomonadota; Betaproteobacteria. The record is from RNAcentral.
UGGAGGAAAGUAGGGGAUCGUAAGACCUUGCGCUUUUGGAGCGGCCGAUGUCUGAUUAGCUAGUUGGUGGGGUAAUGGCCUACUAAAGCUUCGAUCAGUAGCUGGUCUGAGAGGACGGCCAGCCACACUGGGACUGAGACACGGCCCAGACUCCUACGGGAGGCAGCAGUGGGGAAUUUUGGACAAUGGGCGCAAGCCUGAUCCAGCCAUGCCGCGUGAGUGAAGAAGGCCUUCGGGUUGUAAAGCUCUUUCAGCCGGGAAGAAAAGGCUGCGACUAAUAAUCGCAGUUCAUGACGGUACCGGAAGAAGAAGCACCGGCUAACUACGUGCCAGCAGCCGCGGUAAUACGUAGGGUGCGAGCGUUAAUCGGAAUUACUGGGCGUAAAGGGUGUGCAGGCGGCUUUGUAAGUCAGAUGUGG